GCCUGGGUGGCUCAGUUGGUUAAGUGUCUGACUUUGGCUCAGGUCAUGAUCUCACGAUUUGUGAGUUCAAGCCCCGCAUCAGGCU
RNAcentral lists this transfer RNA (85 nucleotides) under Felis catus (domestic cat). It matches the Rfam family "tRNA". Rfam says of the family: Transfer RNA (tRNA) molecules are approximately 80 nucleotides in length. Their secondary structure includes four short double-helical elements and three loops (D, anti-codon, and T loops). The record is from Rfam by way of RNAcentral. Lineage: Eukaryota; Metazoa; Chordata; Mammalia; Carnivora; Felidae.